UACGUAGGGGGCAAGCGUUGCUCGGAUUGACUGGGCGUAAAGGGCGCGUAGGCGGUUCGUACAGUCAGACGUGAAAUUCCUGGGCUCAACCUGGGGGCUGCGUUUGAUACGUGCGGACUUGAGUGCGGAAGAGGGUCGUGGAAUUCCCAGUGUAGAGGUGAAAUGCGUAGAUAUCGGAAGGAACACCUGUGGCGAAAGCGGCUCACUGGACCAUUACUGACGCUGAGGCACGAAAGCUAGGGGAGCAAACAGG
RNAcentral lists this ribosomal RNA (253 nucleotides) under uncultured bacterium. RNAcentral's name for it is "partial 16S ribosomal RNA". It matches the Rfam family "Bacterial small subunit ribosomal RNA", at positions 524 to 776 of the family's 1533-position model. The record is from RNAcentral.